RNAcentral lists this ribosomal RNA (607 nucleotides) under uncultured bacterium. RNAcentral describes it as "bacterial SSU rRNA". It matches the Rfam family "Bacterial small subunit ribosomal RNA", at positions 51 to 657 of the family's 1533-position model. The record is from RNAcentral.
ACACAUGCAAGUCGAACGGGGUCAUUAAGGAAAAUCCUUCGGGAUUCGGAAUUCUUGACCUAGUGGCGGACGGGUGAGUAACGCGUGAGCAAUCUGCCUUUGGAUGGGGGAUAACAGCCGGAAACGACUGCUAAUACCGCAUAAUGCAGCAGGACCGCAUGAUUUUGCUGCCAAAGAUUUAUCGUCCAAAGAUGAGCUCGCGUCUGAUUAGCCAGUUGGCGGGGUAACGGCCCACCAAAGCGACGAUCAGUAGCCGGACUGAGAGGUUGAACGGCCACAUUGGGACUGAGACACGGCCCAGACUCCUACGGGAGGCAGCAGUGGGGAAUAUUGCGCAAUGGGGGAAACCCUGACGCAGCAACGCCGCGUGAGUGAAGAAGGCCUUCGGGUUGUAAAGCUCUUUAAUCAGGGACGAAGAAUGACGGUACCUGAAGAAUAAGCUCCGGCUAACUACGUGCCAGCAGCCGCGGUAAUACGUAGGGAGCAAGCGUUAUCCGGAUUUACUGGGUGUAAAGGGCGUGUAAGCGGGCCUGCAAGUCAGAAGUGAAAUCUGGGGGCUUAACCCCCAAACUGCUUUUGAAACUGUGGGUCUUGAGUGAUGGAGAGG